RNAcentral lists this ribosomal RNA (301 nucleotides) under uncultured bacterium. RNAcentral's name for it is "partial 16S ribosomal RNA". It matches the Rfam family "Bacterial small subunit ribosomal RNA", at positions 509 to 808 of the family's 1533-position model. The record is from RNAcentral.
CAGCCGCCGCGGGAAUACAGAGGGUGCGAGCGUUAAUCGGAUUUACUGGGCGUAAAGCGUGCGUAGGCGGCUAAUUGAGUCGGAUGUGAAAUCCCCGAGCUUAACUUGGGAAUUGCAUUCGAUACUGGUUAGCUAGAGUGUGGGAGAGGAUGGUAGAAUUCCAGGUGUAGCGGUGAAAUGCGUAGAGAUCUGGAGGAAUACCGAUGGCGAAGGCAGCCAUCUGGCCUAACACUGACGCUGAGGUACGAAAGCAUGGGGAGCAAACAGGAUUAGAUACCCGAGUAGUCCCUGUCUCUUAACC